RNAcentral lists this ribosomal RNA (490 nucleotides) under uncultured bacterium. RNAcentral describes it as "bacterial SSU rRNA". It matches the Rfam family "Bacterial small subunit ribosomal RNA", at positions 28 to 507 of the family's 1533-position model. The record is from RNAcentral.
GAUGAACGCUAGCUACAGGCUUAACACAUGCAAGUCGAGGGGCAGCAUGAACUUAGCUUGCUAAGUUUGAUGGCGACCGGCGCACGGGUGAGUAACACGUAUCCAACCUUCCGUUUACUCAGGGAUAGCCUUUCGAAAGAAAGAUUAAUACCUGAUAGUAUGGUGAGAUUGCAUGAUAGCACCAUUAAAGAUUUAUUGGUAAACGAUGGGGAUGCGUUCCAUUAGGUAGUAGGCGGGGUAACGGCCCACCUAGCCUGCGAUGGAUAGGGGUUCUGAGAGGAAGGUCCCCCACAUUGGAACUGAGACACGGUCCAAACUCCUACGGGAGACAGCAGUGAGGAAUAUUGGUCAAUGGGCGAGAGCCUGAACCAGCCAAGUAGCGUGAAGGAUGAAGGUCCUACGGAUUGUAAACUUCUUUUAUACGGGAAUAAAGUUUCCUACGUGUAGGAUUUUGUAUGUACCGUAUGAAUAAGCAUCGGCUAACUCCGUG